This 1117-nucleotide long non-coding RNA is filed under the name Prunus dulcis (almond). RNAcentral's name for it is "sRNA ncRNA". The record is from RNAcentral. Lineage: Eukaryota; Viridiplantae; Streptophyta; Magnoliopsida; Rosales; Rosaceae.
AAGAUAGGGUUCAAAUUCCAAAUUGUUCUAAUGUCUCUUUCUAGUUUGGCUCUGUCUGUCUCUCUCUCUCUCUCUAUCUCCCUCUCUCUCUCUCUCUCUCUCUCAAACUUCUUCUAUCUAAUACCUCACCUAUUGCUGGGGGGAACAAUUAAUUUUGUUUUGUUGCCUUUUCUGCUCAUUUUAAAAUGACCAAAAUAGGUUGCUUGUCUUUUCUCUCACAUUUAACAUAUGGGCCCACCCACAUUGUUUAAUUGUUUAUAGGCAAUGUUAAUUGCCUCUCUGUUAAGCAUGCAAGUUGAUACAAUCCCUCCUGCACUGCAAUGCCUAAAAACUCCACUAUCAAUCAAAUCAAACUUUAACUAGUCAUCUUUUAUGUCUAUUGUAGUCUUAAAGCACGCCUAAUCCCCCAAUAGAGUCUUGGUUUUUAUUUAUUUAUUACAAGGGCUUCAUAAUUCAAGGGAUUAAGAACAUUUAUUUAGUCACUCGAGAUCCGAGGUUUGAUAACUCCCUCUUUCAAUAUCGUUUAUGUAAAAGAAAAUCUUUAGUUUUCCAUUAUAAGGGUCUUGUACCUCGAGUGAUUAAAAGUAUUUAUUUAUUUACUUAAGGUCCUAGGUUCGUUUCUCCCCUAUUUCAAUAUCACUUAUAUAUAAAAUAAAAAAUCUUCAAUUUUCCGUUAUAAGUAAUAACAAAAUUAAAAGAAACUAAUGUCUUUUAAUGGCUUUCAUCAUACUCUAUUGAUUGUCCUUUCUCCUAAAUAUCUUCUCACUCAUGACUUUGGAAUUGAUCAUCAUGCUACAAUGGUUAGGAAUCCAUGGACGAAAGUGUUCAAAUUUGGCACUUCUUUCAACAUUGAAAAUAAAAAUAUUCCUAAAGCACUUUUGUUAGUAUUGAGUAAAAUUAUUAUAAACUAACUUGAGAUAUUUAGUUAUAUAUCUAUUUUUAGCACUAAAUUAUAAAUAAAUUCUACACUAUUUAAUUUUUAUAAACAAACCCACAAAAUGACAGCUGGCCCUAUUGAAUUUAAUUUUGAUUAUUAAAUUACUUUAAUGCCCUAUUGAGUGUUUUAGGCUUUUUCAUGAAGUUUUGGGGUUGAGUUUGUUUAAAAAAAUCAGUGGCA